This 501-nucleotide ribosomal RNA is filed under the name uncultured bacterium. RNAcentral's name for it is "partial 16S ribosomal RNA". It matches the Rfam family "Bacterial small subunit ribosomal RNA", at positions 899 to 1397 of the family's 1533-position model. The record is from RNAcentral.
ACUCAAAUGAAUUGACGGGGGCCCGCACAAGCGGUGGAGCAUGUGGUUUAAUUCGAUGCAACGCGAAAAACCUUACCUACCCUUGACAUGUCUGGAAGUCUGCAGAGAUGCGGAUGUGCCUGCGAGGGAGCCAGAACACAGGUGCUGCAUGGCUGUCGUCAGCUCGUGUCGUGAGAUGUUGGGUUAAGUCCCGUAACGAGCGCAACCCCUAUUGUUAGUUGCCAGCGAGUAAAGUCGGGGACUCUAAUAAGACUGCCGGUGAUAAACCGGAGGAAGGUGGGGAUGAUGUCAAGUCAUCAUGGCCCUUAUGGGUAGGGCUACACACGUGCUACAAUGGCCGAUACAAAGGGAAGCGAAGCUGAGAAGUGGAGCGGAGCCUAAAAAGUCGGUCGUAGUCCGGAUUGGAGUCUGCAACUCGACUCCAUGAAGUCGGAAUCGCUAGUAAUCGUGGAUCAGCAUGCCACGGUGAAUACGUUCCCGGGCCUUGCACACACCGCCCGU